This 254-nucleotide ribosomal RNA is filed under the name uncultured bacterium. RNAcentral's name for it is "partial 16S ribosomal RNA". It matches the Rfam family "Bacterial small subunit ribosomal RNA", at positions 524 to 776 of the family's 1533-position model. The record is from RNAcentral.
UACGUAGGGGGCAAGCGUUGUCCGGAUUUAUUGGGCGUAAAGAGCGUGUAGGCGGCUUUACAGGUCCGUUGUGAAAACUCGAGGCUCAACCUCGAGACGCCGGUGGAAACCGUAAGGCUAGAGUCCGGAAGAGGAGAGUGGAAUUCCUGGUGUAGCGGUGAAAUGCGCAGAUAAUCAGGAGGAACACCCGUGGCGAAAGCGGCUCUCUGGGCCGAUACUGACGCUGAGGAGCGAAAGCGUGGGGAGCGAACAGG